AUUGAACGCUGGCGGAAUGCUUUACACAUGCAAGUCGAGCGGCAGCGCGGCCUUCGGGCUGGCGGCGAGCGGCGAACGGGUGAGUAAUGCAUCGGAACAUGCCCAGUCGUGGGGGAUAACACUUCGAAAGAAGUGCUAAUACCGCAUACGUCCUGAGGGGGAAAGCGGGGGAUCGCAAGACCUCGCGCGAUUGGAGUGGCCGAUGUCAGAUUAGCUAGUUGGUGGGGUAAAGGCCUACCAAGGCGACGAUCUGUAGCUGGUCUGGGAGGAUGAUCAGCCACACGGGGACUGAGACACGCCCCAGACUCCUACGGGAGGCAGCAGUGGGGAAUUUUGGACAAUGGGGACAACCCUGAUCCAGCCAUUCCGCGUGAGUGAAGAAGGCCUUCGGGUGGUAAAGCGCUUUCGGCAGGAACGAAACGGUGGGCUCUAACAGAGGCCGCUAAUGACGUUACCGGAAGAAGAAGCACCGGCUAACUACGU
Molecule: ribosomal RNA, 483 nt
Filed under: uncultured bacterium
Lineage: Bacteria
Description: partial 16S ribosomal RNA
Rfam family: Bacterial small subunit ribosomal RNA
Source: RNAcentral